GUGAUGAUGUCCCGGAUGUAGUCUCCAGCUGCAGUCCCUCACCCAGGCCAUGGCUCCGACACCAGGGACCUCUGACAGCAGAGCUAAGAAAAAAGCAGGUCUUCCUCCUUCAGGAACAAGCCCAGGCUGCACUGCAGUCCUAAAAUUGCACAGCUCAUGCCAAGAAGAGGGAAACAAGAAAGAAGGGAAGAGAUGA
RNAcentral lists this long non-coding RNA (196 nucleotides) under Fukomys damarensis (Damara mole-rat). RNAcentral's name for it is "lncRNA (ENSFDAG00000031595.1)". Lineage: Eukaryota; Metazoa; Chordata; Mammalia; Rodentia; Bathyergidae. The record is from RNAcentral.